CAGGACAUAAUUUAUUUAGAAUGCUGGCUUUGGGGGUCAGUAGAGAAGGUUUAACUCCUUUUGUCUUGA
Molecule: transfer RNA, 69 nt
Filed under: Kalophrynus palmatissimus
Lineage: Eukaryota; Metazoa; Chordata; Amphibia; Anura; Microhylidae
Description: tRNA-Pro
Rfam family: tRNA
About the family: Transfer RNA (tRNA) molecules are approximately 80 nucleotides in length.
Source: RNAcentral